ACUUGAUGGUGUUUAUGACGUCGAUAUUCGACGUCAUAAACACCAAACUUGAUGGUGUUUAUGACGUCGAAUAUCGACGUCAUAAACAGCA
Molecule: microRNA precursor, 91 nt
Filed under: Paramuricea clavata
Lineage: Eukaryota; Metazoa; Cnidaria; Anthozoa; Malacalcyonacea; Plexauridae
Source: RNAcentral